AUUGAACGCUGGCGACAGGCUUAACACAUGCAAGUCGAACGAGUGGCGGACGGGAGUGUAACGUGUGGGAACCUAGCUUAUGGCGGGGGAUAACUACGGGAAACUGUAGCAAAUACCGCGUACCAUAGGAUGAGCCCAAGUGGGACUAGGUAGUUGGUGAGGUAAAGGCUCACCAGGCCGACGAUCUCUAGCUGGUUUGAGAGGAUGACCCGGCACACUGUGACUGUUACACGUCCCAGACUCCGACGUGAGGCAGGAGUGGUGAAUAUGGCGCAAUGGGUGCAACCUGACGCAGCCAUGCCGCGUGAGUGAAGAAGGCCUUCGGGUUGUAAAGGUCUUUCGGUAGCGUGGCGUUAGCUACAGAAGAAGCGCCGGCUAACUCCGUGCCAGCAGCCGCGGUAAUUC
RNAcentral lists this ribosomal RNA (405 nucleotides) under uncultured bacterium. RNAcentral's name for it is "partial 16S ribosomal RNA". It matches the Rfam family "Bacterial small subunit ribosomal RNA", at positions 30 to 526 of the family's 1533-position model. The record is from RNAcentral.